UUUUGGGCCAAGUAAUUCUUUGUGCUGGGAGACCAUCAUGUGCUCUCUAGGAUAUUUAGCAGCAUCCCUGACCUCUUGCAGAAGAUGCCAGGAGCACCCUCCCUUGAACUGUGAAAACCAAAAGUGUCUCCACUCAUUGUUAAAUGUCCCCUGAAAGGUGCAAAGUCGUGAGUGGUAGAACUUGGUCAGAUCAUAAAGGACCUUGUAUGUGGACUUGUUUUCUAGGCAUGCAAUGAGAAAUACUUCAUGUUUUCUAGUGGGAGAGUUACAUGCGGCAAUGUAUUUUCAGAGGAUACAUUUCAAAGAGGUGAGACUGGAGAUAGGAAGAUCUACCAAGGAGGAAACUGCCAUAGAUUACAGAAAGGGAAAGAAGUGAAUUCCCUUCAUCUACAUGGUUCCGAAGUGCAGAAACAAGAAGGGCAAAGCCAAAAAGACAAGUGAAAGCAAAGAAAUGGUUUUCUGGCAUUCUUUUGGAGAUUCCCUUUUUGGUGACGUGCUCAAGCCUACCCAUAAAACAUUGAGAGUUAUCUUGGUCUGCAAUCAAUCCUUCAGAAAAAUCCCUCACAUUAUCACUUUUGUGCAGUAUGUUAACUAGGAGCAAAAUGAUAGUGUAUGUCAGUCAAAUGUAAAGCAUGACUUCUAUUGGUGUUAAAACCUGAUGAUUAAUGCAGAAGCUCAUGGCAAGUCAGGUUAAUCUGAACAAUAUAUUAUUUCCUUUUAGUCUACAAUCUGUCAUUUCA
This is a long non-coding RNA of Bubalus bubalis (water buffalo), 740 nucleotides long. RefSeq lists it as uncharacterized. The transcript has 3 exons. NCBI's taxonomy places the organism in Eukaryota, Metazoa, Chordata, Mammalia, Artiodactyla, Bovidae. The record is from RefSeq and is a predicted model, not a curated record.